UACGGGGGGGGCAAGCGUUGUUCGGAAUUACUGGGCGUAAAGGGCUCGUAGGCGGCCAACUAAGUCAGACGUGAAAUCCCUCGGCUUAACCGGGGAACUGCGUCUGGUACUGGAUGGCUUGAGAUUGGGAGAGGGAUGCGGAAUUCCAGGUGUAGCGGUGAAAUGCGUAGAUAUCUGGAGGAACACCGGUGGCGAAGGCGGCAUCCUGGACCAACACUGACGCUGAGGAGCGAAAGCCAGGGGAGCAAACGGG
This 253-nucleotide ribosomal RNA is filed under the name uncultured bacterium. RNAcentral's name for it is "partial 16S ribosomal RNA". It matches the Rfam family "Bacterial small subunit ribosomal RNA", at positions 524 to 776 of the family's 1533-position model. The record is from RNAcentral.